AUCAAUAAGCGGAGGAAAAGAAACUAACAAGGAUUCCCCCAGUAACGGCGAGUGAAGAGGGAAGAGCUCACAGUUUGAACCUGUUUGACCUAGUCAAACCGGAUUGUAAACUGUAAAGACAUUGUCCAGGCAAGCCGGGUAAAUAAGUCCUUUGGAAUAAGGCAUCAUGGAGGGUGAAAAUCCCGUUUUUGGCCUGAGCAUUUGCCUUUUGUGACAAGUCUUUCAAGAGUCAGGUUGUUUGGGAAUGCAGCCUAAAUUGGGUGGUAAAUCCCAUCUAAAGCUAAAUAUUGGCGAGAGACCGAUAGCGAACAAGUACCGUGAGGGAAAGAUGAAAAGCACUUUGAAAAGAGAGUUAAAAAGUAUGUGAAAUUGCUGAAAGGGAAGCGUUUGGGAUCAGAACGGCUGUACCAGUCAUCAGUCUCGGUUUCGACUGGGAUGCACUGUCUGGGACAUUUGCCAGCCAACAACAGUUGGUCUGGGUGGAGAAAACUGUGGGGAAGGUAGCCCCUUCGGGGUGAUUAUAGACCUGCGGAAAAUACACUCGGAUCGACUGAGGAGCGCAGUGGAUGCCUUUAGGCAAGAUCUUUCAAAGGGCAUAGCCUCUAUUUGACUGCAUCUUUAUCCACUUAGGUUGUUGGCCUAAUGGUUUCAAACGAC
Molecule: ribosomal RNA, 657 nt
Filed under: Thermomucor indicae-seudaticae
Lineage: Eukaryota; Fungi; Mucoromycota; Mucoromycetes; Mucorales; Lichtheimiaceae
Description: eukaryotic LSU rRNA
Rfam family: Eukaryotic large subunit ribosomal RNA
Source: RNAcentral